UUGUGUAUGUGGAAGGAAAGACCUGUGUGUCUAUUGCUUUACUCGACAGAUGUCGCAGCCUUGUCUUGUGGAAAAGUGAAUCUUGGGCAACAGGGUUGUCAGCAGGUGUAAGGUAAGCAAAAUGAUCUCGCUUGAAUAGUUUCAGGAUCCACAUAGAUUGAGAGGAGCAGCAAAGAAAGUGAAGAAAAAAGUGUGUACCAUCUUAUGUAGGAAGACAUUUGGAAGUUGUGUUCGCGGAAGGAAAGGCCUGUGUGUCUAUUGCUUUUUUCGACAGAUGUAGCAGUCUUGUCUUGUGGAAAAGUGAAUCUUGGGCAACAGGGUUUUCAGCAGGUGUAAGGUAAGCAAAAUGAUCUUGCUUGAAUAGUUUCAGGAUCCACACAGAUUGAGAGGAGCAGCAAAGAAAGUGAAAAAGAAAGUGUGUACCAUCUUAUGUAGGAAGACAUUUGGAAGUUGUGUUUGCGGAAGGAAAGAAAGGCCUGUGUGUCUAUUGCUUUACUCGACAGAUGUCGCAGCCUUGUCUUGUGGAAAAGUGAAUCUUGGGCAACAGGGAUUUCAGCAGGUGUAAGGUAAGCAAAAUGAUCUUGCUUGAAUAGUUUCAGGAUCCACACAGAUUGAGAGGAGCAGCAAAGAAAGUGAAGAAAAAAGUUUGUACCAUCUUAUGUAGGAAGACAAUUGGAAGUUGUGUUUGCGGAAGGAAAGGCCUGUGUGUCUUUUGCUUUACUCGACAGAUGUCGCAGCCUUGUCUUGUGGAAAAGUGAAUCUUGGGCAACAGGGUUUUCAGAAGGUGUAAGGUAAGCAAAAUGACCUCGCUUGAAUGGUUUCAGGAUCCACAAAGAUUGAGAGGAGCGGCAAAGAAAGUGAAGAAGAAAGUGUGUACCAUCUUAUGUAGGAAGACAUCUGGAAGUUGUGUUUGCGGAAGGAAAGAAAGGCCUGUGUGUCUAUUGCUUUACUCGACAGAUGUCGCAGCCUUGUCUUGUGGAAAAGUGAAUCUUGGGCAACAGGGAUUUCAGCAGGUGUAAGGUAAGCAAAAUGAUCUUGCUUGAAUAGUUUCAGGAUCCACACAGAUUGAGAGGAGUAGCAAAGAAAGUGAAGAAAAAAGUUUGUACCAUCUUAUGUAGGAAGACAUUUGGAAGUUUUGUUUGCGGAAGGAAAGGCCUGCCUGUGUGUCUUUUGCUUUACUCGACAGAUGUCGCAGCCUUGUCUUGUGGAAAAGUGAAUCUUGGGCAACAGGGUUUUCAGAAGGUGUAAGGUAAGCAAAAUGACCUCGCUUGAAUGGUUUCAGGAUCCACAAAGAUUGAGAGGAGCGGCAAAGAAAGUGAAGAAGAAAGUGUGUACCAUCUUAUGUAGGAAGACAUCUGGAAGUUGUGUUUGCGGAAGGAAAGAAAGGCCUGUGUGUCUAUUGCUUUACUCGACAGAUGUCGCAGCCUUGUCUUGUGGAAAAGUGAAUCUUGGGCAACAGGGAUUUCAGCAGGUGUAAGGUAAGCAAAAUGAUCUUGCUUGAAUAGUUUCAGGAUCCACACAGAUUGAGAGGAGUAGCAAAGAAAGUGAAGAAAAAAGUUUGUACCAUCUUAUGUAGGAAGACAUUUGGAAGUUUUGUUUGCGGAAGGAAAGGCCUGCCUGUGUGUCUUUUGCUUUACUCGACAGAUGUCGCAGCCUUGUCUUGUGGAAAAGUGAAUCUUGGGCAACAGGGUUUUCAGAAGGUGUAAGGUAAGCAAAAUGACCUCGCUUGAAUGGUUUCAGGAUCCACAAAGAUUGAGAGGAGCGGCAAAGAAAGUGAAGAAGAAAGUGUGUACCAUCUUAUGUAGGAAGACAUCUGGAAGUUGUGUUUGCGGAAGGAAAGAAAGGCCUGUGUGUCUAUUGCUUUACUCGACAGAUGUCGCAGCCUUGUCUUGUGGAAAAGUGAAUCUUGGGCAACAGGGAUUUCAGCAGGUGUAAGGUAAGCAAAAUGAUCUUGCUUGAAUAGUUUCAGGAUCCACACAGAUUGAGAGGAGUAGCAAAGAAAGUGAAGAAAAAAGUUUGUACCAUCUUAUGUAGGAAGACAUUUGGAAGUUUUGUUUGCGGAAGGAAAGGCCUGCCUGUGUGUCUUUUGCUUUACUCGACAGAUGUCGCAGCCUUGUCUUGUGGAAAAGUGAAUCUUGGGCAACAGGGUUUUCAGAAGGUGUAAGGUAAGCAAAAUGACCUCGCUUGAAUGGUUUCAGGAUCCACAAAGAUUGAGAGGAGCGGCAAAGAAAGUGAAGAAGAAAGUGUGUACCAUCUUAUGUAGGAAGACAUCUGGAAGUUGUGUUUGCGGAAGGAAAGAAAGGCCUGUGUGUCUAUUGCUUUACUCGACAGAUGUCGCAGCCUUGUCUUGUGGAAAAGUGAAUCUUGGGCAACAGGGAUUUCAGCAGGUGUAAGGUAAGCAAAAUGAUCUUGCUUGAAUAGUUUCAGGAUCCACACAGAUUGAGAGGAGUAGCAAAGAAAGUGAAGAAAAAAGUUUGUACCAUCUUAUGUAGGAAGACAUUUGGAAGUUUUGUUUGCGGAAGGAAAGGCCUGUGUGUCUAUUGCUUUACUCGACAGAUGUCGCAGCCUUGUCUUGUGGAAAAGUGAAUCUUGGGCAACAGGGUUUUCAGGAGGUGUAAGGUAAGCAAAAUGAUCUCGCUGGAAUGGUUUCAGGAUCCACACAUAUUGAGAGGAGCAGCAAAGAAAGUGAAGAAAACUGUUUGUACCAUCUUAUGUAGAAAGACAUUUGGAAGUUGUGUUUGCGGAAGGAAAGAAAGGCCUGUGUGUCUAUUGCUUUACUCGACAGAUGUCGCAGCCUUGUCUUGUGGAAAAGUGAAUCUUGGGCAACAGGGUUGUCAGCAGGUGUAAGGUAAGCAAAAUGAUCUUGCUUGAAUGGUUUCAGGAUCCACAAAGAUUGAGAGGAGCGGCAAAGAAAGUGCAGAAAAAAGUUUGUACCAUCUUAUGUAGGAAGACAUCUGGAAGUUGUGUUCGCGGAAGGAAAGGCCUGUGUGUCUAUUGCUUUACUCGACAGAUGUCGCAGCCUUGUCUUGUGGAAAAGUGAAUCUUGGGCAACAGGGUUUUCAGCAGGUGUAAGGUAAGCAAAAUGAUCUCGCUUGAAUGGUUUCAGGAUCCACAAAGAUUGAGAGGAGCAGCAAAGAAAGUGAACAAAAAAGUUUGUACCAUCUUAUGCCUUCUCUAUCAGAUCCCUUCAAGACACAAAAUAUCGGACCUUUGCUGCCUAGGAAGACCUUGAUUAUAGUUGUUACCUUUGAACCUUGAGACUCGUCAAUCAUUGAGACGCAAAGGGUUUGGACAGAAAACACUGCUAAUUUGAAAUGUAUAGGGUGAAGGAAAA
This is a long non-coding RNA of Spea bombifrons (plains spadefoot toad), 3334 nucleotides long. RefSeq lists it as uncharacterized. The record is from RefSeq and is a predicted model, not a curated record. The transcript has 6 exons. NCBI's taxonomy places the organism in Eukaryota, Metazoa, Chordata, Amphibia, Anura, Pelobatidae.